RNAcentral lists this ribosomal RNA (429 nucleotides) under Bacteroidota bacterium. RNAcentral's name for it is "Bacteroidetes bacterium partial 16S ribosomal RNA". It matches the Rfam family "Bacterial small subunit ribosomal RNA", at positions 355 to 776 of the family's 1533-position model. Lineage: Bacteria; Pseudomonadati; Bacteroidota. The record is from RNAcentral.
UAGGGAAUCUUCCGCAAUGGACGCAAGUCUGACGGAGCAACGCCGCGUGAGUGAAGAAGGUUUUCGGAUCGUAAAGCUCUGUUGUUAAGGAAGAACGAGUGUGAGAAUGGAAAGUUCAUACUGUGACGGUACUUAACCAGAAAGGGACGGCUAACUACGUGCCAGCAGCCGCGGUAAUACGUAGGUUCCGAGCGUUGUCCGGAUUUAUUGGGCGUAAAGCGAGCGCAGGCGGUUAGAUAAGUCUGAAGUUAAAGGCAGUGGCUCAACCAUUGUAGGCUUUGGAAACUGUUUAACUUGAGUGCAGAAGGGGAGAGUGGAAUUCCAGGUGUAGCGGUGAAAUGCGUAGAUAUAUGGAGGAACACCGGUGGCGAAAGCGGCUCUCUGGUCUGUAACUGACGAUGAGGCUCGAAAGGGUGGGGAGCGAACAGG